RNAcentral lists this ribosomal RNA (503 nucleotides) under uncultured Steroidobacter sp. Its description in RNAcentral is "bacterial SSU rRNA". It matches the Rfam family "Bacterial small subunit ribosomal RNA", at positions 8 to 507 of the family's 1533-position model. Lineage: Bacteria; Pseudomonadati; Pseudomonadota; Gammaproteobacteria; Steroidobacterales; Steroidobacteraceae. The record is from RNAcentral.
AGAGUUUGAUCCUGGCUCAGAUUGAACGCUGGCGGCGUGCCUAACACAUGCAAGUCGAGCGGCAGCGCGGGAGCAAUCCUGGCGGCGAGCGGCGGACGGGUGAGUAACGCUUGGGAAUCUGCCUGUUAGUGGGGGACAACCCGGGGAAACUCGGGCUAAUACCGCAUACGCACUACGGUGGAAAGCCGGGGACCGCAGGGCCUGGCGCUAACAGAUGAGCCCAAGUCGGAUUAGCUAGUUGUAGGGUAACGGCCUACCAAGGCGACGAUCCGUAACUGGUCUGAGAGGACGACCAGUCACACCGGAACUGAGACACGGUCCGGACUCCUACGGGAGGCAGCAGUGGGGAAUAUUGGACAAUGGGGGCAACCCUGAUCCAGCGACGCCGCGUGGGUGAAGAAGGCCUGCGGGUUGUAAAGCCCUUUCGGUGGGGAAGAAAAGUUCUGACCUAACACGUCGGGACCUUGACGUAACCCACUAAAGAAGCACCGGCUAACUCUGUG